UGGAAUGUAGUUAAUUAUUUGACAUUUCUUUUACAAAGAAAAAGAGCGUUUGCCGUUCUGA
RNAcentral lists this transfer RNA (61 nucleotides) under Ornithodoros furcosus. RNAcentral describes it as "tRNA-Val". The record is from RNAcentral. Lineage: Eukaryota; Metazoa; Arthropoda; Arachnida; Ixodida; Argasidae.